GGCCUAACACAUGCAAGUCGAGCGGAUGAAGAGAGCUUGCUUUCUGAUUCAGCGGCGGACGGGUGAGUAAUGCCUAGGAAUCUGCCUGAUAGUGGGGGACAACGUUUCGAAAGGAACGCUAAUACCGCAUACGUCCUACGGGGGAAAGCAGGGGACCUUCGGGCCUUGCGCUAUCAGAUGAGCCUAGGUCGGAUUAGCUAGUUGGUGAGGUAACGGCUCACCAAGGCGACGAUCCGUAACUGGUCUGAGAGGAUGAUCAGUCACACUGGAACUGAGACACGGUCCAGACUCCUACGGGAGGCAGCAGUGGGGAAUAUUGGACAAUGGGCGAAAGCCUGAUCCAGCCAUGCCGCGUGUGUGAAGAAGGUCUUCGGAUUGUAAAGCACUUUAAGUUGGGAGGAAGGGCAUUAACCUAAUACGUUAGUGUUUUGACGUUACCGACAGAAUAAGCACCGGCUAACUUCGUGCCAGCAGCCGCGGUAAUACGAAGGGUGCAAGCGUUAAUCGGAAUUACUGGGCGUAAAGCGCGCGUAGGUGGUUUGUUAAGUUGAAUGUGAAAGCCCCGGGCUCAACCUGGGAACUGCAUCCAAAACUGGCAAGCUAGAGUAUGGCAGAGGGUGGUGGAAUUUCCUGUGUAGCGGUGAAAUGCGUAGAUAUAGGAAGGAACACCAGUGGCGAAGGCGACCACCUGGGCUAAUACUGACACUGAGGUGCGAAAGCGUGGGGAGCAAACAGGAUUAGAUACCCUGGUAGUCCACGCCGUAAACGAUGUCGACUAGCCGUUGGGAUCCUUGAGAUCUUAGUGGCGCAGCUAACGCAUUAAGUCGACCGCCUGGGGAGUACGGCCGCAAGGUUAAAACUCAAAUGAAUUGACGGGGGCCCGCACAAGCGGUGGAGCAUGUGGUUUAAUUCNAAGCACGCGAAGAACCUUACCAGGCCUUGACAUGCAGAGAACUUUCCAGAGAUGGAUUGGUGCCUUCGGGAACUCUGA
Molecule: ribosomal RNA, 991 nt
Filed under: bacterium enrichment culture clone aHCH7_E3
Lineage: Bacteria
Description: bacterial SSU rRNA
Rfam family: Bacterial small subunit ribosomal RNA
Source: RNAcentral